GCUGUAAACACUACUUUAUUAAGCACGAGUGUGUAAUUCUCUGAAAUAUUUCUUUGUGGGAAAGAGAUUCUGCCCCGCACGGCCCAAUUCAAAGCUUCCGCUAGUGCUAAGCCCAAUGUUUCCGAAUUUCCCGCUGACCGAGACUCCAGGUCCACAGAUCGCCCCUCGCAGCCGAUCCCCGACCCCGGCCCUGGCGGAGGCGGGAGACGGCUGCGGACCUGCAGCCCCGGUAGACAGAGGACCAGAGUGCGGGCCUCUCAAAGGCGGGGACUUGGUGGAAGCGGUCCAGUUCUCGCGAGGUUUCGUCCUGACCCGAGCAGGCGACAGCUCCGCGGAGAGAGUGGGUUUCGCUCACAGGAGGGAGCCGAAGGGCCCGGAGUGGUCGUUGCUACCCGGGGUCCGAGCCGGGGGAGAAGCCGUCACCUGUAAAAAGCCAGUUCUCCCUAAAGUCACCCCUGGGGAAGUCCAAGGCAGCGCUGGCCUCUUCCUUCGGCUGUGGGGGCAGCGCAGGCAAACCUUGCCGGCUAAAGAGAACCGCCCUAAGCAAAAACCUUUCCUUUAGGAGAAAUUGCUGAGCUCUGCAGGAACUGUGAAUGGUGACUAUCUGGUAAUUCUAAGACUGAAAAGCAAGAGGAAAAGAGAUGGGAAAUGAGAAUUGAUGGGGAGAAGCAGGGGCAUCCAUGUUCAACCUCAGCCUGAGAGUCUGAGUUAAUCUGCAGUGAAGGUAAGGACUACCAGGAGCUGGCCCCCCCUGACUUUGUCACCUGGGAACAGCCAAACAGUCGUGGCCACUUUCAGAGAAAUAAAGAAGGUAGGAGAGCACCCCUGGGAGCUAGA
This 837-nucleotide long non-coding RNA is filed under the name Bos indicus x Bos taurus (hybrid cattle). RNAcentral describes it as "lncRNA (ENSBIXG00000012551.1)". Lineage: Eukaryota; Metazoa; Chordata; Mammalia; Artiodactyla; Bovidae. The record is from RNAcentral.